UCACAGAAUAGGGAAUAGACAGAGACUGG
Molecule: non-coding RNA, 29 nt
Filed under: Mus musculus (house mouse)
Lineage: Eukaryota; Metazoa; Chordata; Mammalia; Rodentia; Muridae
Source: RNAcentral